GGAGAAACACUGAUGCUGCAGUGCCAGAGUGAGACGAAGCUGUGCUAGCUAGCACCUGUCAUGGCGUUAAGCCAUCCCAUACCCACCAGAACAGGACUCGCUGGCGGUCUCUGACAAGAUCAGCCUGUAACAGGUUUGAGCAGGAUUGACAAAAUCAUCUACAGGCGGCAUGUGAAAGGUGCCACAGAGCUGCAUCAUCAAACACCACAAAUACAGACUUCCCGUGCGCUGAGUGCGGCCGACUCUGUGCAUCAGGCUUUGGAGUCAUAUGCGUAGCCAUAGAGAAGAACUGGGACAAUAUCGUCAUCAGCGAUGGACUACCAACACCCACCAGAUUCAGCUUGAAGUGGAAGGGCCGAAGCAUUGUAAAGAAAGUCAGUACUUGUACGUUCUAGCCCGACGAAGAGCAAGAAGCAUAAAUCUCCUGAGAAGACUGCAAGGGUGAGAUUUCCACUCCACUUCUGGAGAAGCAAGACAUUUGGCUCAAGUUCAGGUUCCAGCAAAAGAUACUUGGCAGGAUUAGGCUGAUGAAGACCCCCUCCCCCAAUCACAGAGAGAUAACAGUACCUCAAAGAGAAGAAG
Long non-coding RNA from Mauremys reevesii (Reeves's turtle), 582 nucleotides. RefSeq lists it as uncharacterized. Lineage: Eukaryota; Metazoa; Chordata; Testudines; Geoemydidae. The record is from RefSeq and is a predicted model, not a curated record. The transcript has 3 exons.